Molecule: long non-coding RNA, 805 nt
Organism: Zalophus californianus (California sea lion)
Lineage: Eukaryota; Metazoa; Chordata; Mammalia; Carnivora; Otariidae
Exons: 3
Source: RefSeq, a predicted model, not a curated record
GGAGACAGGGGGAGGCGGAAAGAGCCGAAGGAUGCGAUGGGGGUGUGGCUAAAGGAUGGAUGGAAAGCCACGGGAGCCGGAGAUAGCCGAAGCGGACCAGGACCGGGUGGCUGGUUGGGGGGGUGGUGUGGGGAGAAAAACAAGGAACCGAGGCGAUCCGGAAGGAGCCGAAGGCGGCGUCCGAGGUGGGUGGCAGGAGGCGGAACUAGCCGAAAGAGGGAUUUAGACGGAAAAGGCCUAAGGGCGGAGCUUGGAAUGCGAUCGACAGAGUAAAAGAGUGAGAAAUUCGCCCAAGAGCAAGCGGGAAGAGCCGAAAGUUUUAGGUGGGAGAAUGGGAGGAAAAGGAUUCGGGCUACGAAGAGAAAAAAAAAUAACCGAAAGCUGGAGGCCGGGUGCCGUGAGUUGUAGGUUUCCGGAGAAGGGGAGGAUGGAGCAGAGCCGGUCCGGAGCUGACGUCAUUAGAGACCUCGUGCCAAGCUCUGUGAUGGACCCUGGGAACAGUUUCUACCUUCCUGGAGCUUAAAUACCGAUGAUGCCCCGGGGAGGGGGAAAAAAAAACCCAACAACAAGUUAUGGAUGAAACAACACUGGUUGAGACCUUAGACCACAUGGAGGACAGGACCCCAACCUUUCAAGCUGUGGUCUCCAGCUGGUGCCAUCUCUGAAGCUUCAGCAGGCCAUUCCAGAAUUCUAGAGGGCCAUCUGCUUUUAGGUAAUGAAGAAAAUGAGAGGGGCACCUGGGUGGCUCAGUCAGUUAAGUGUCUGCCUUGGGCUCAAGUCAUGAUCUCAGGGUCCUGGGAUUGAG